AACUUUUCAACAACGGAUCUCUUGGUUCUGGCAUCGAUGAAGAACGCAGCGAAAUUGCGAUAAGUAAUGUGAAUUUGCAGAAUUCAGUGAAUCAUCGAAUCUUUGAACGCACAUUGCGCCCUCUGGUAUUCCGGGGGGCAUGCCUGUUCGAGCGUCAUUA
Molecule: ribosomal RNA, 160 nt
Filed under: Cadophora constrictospora
Lineage: Eukaryota; Fungi; Ascomycota; Leotiomycetes; Helotiales; Ploettnerulaceae
Description: 5.8S ribosomal RNA
Rfam family: 5.8S ribosomal RNA
About the family: 5.8S ribosomal RNA (5.8S rRNA) is a component of the large subunit of the eukaryotic ribosome. It is transcribed by RNA polymerase I as part of the 45S precursor that also contains 18S and 28S rRNA.
Source: RNAcentral